This 253-nucleotide ribosomal RNA is filed under the name uncultured bacterium. RNAcentral's name for it is "partial 16S ribosomal RNA". It matches the Rfam family "Bacterial small subunit ribosomal RNA", at positions 524 to 776 of the family's 1533-position model. The record is from RNAcentral.
CACGUAGGGCGCAAGCGUUGUCCGGAAUUAUUGGGCGUAAAGGGCUCGUAGGCGGUCUGUCGCGUCGGGAGUGAAAACUCAGGGCUUAACCCUGAGCCUGCUUCCGAUACGGGCAGACUAGAGGUAUGCAGGGGAGAACGGAAUUCCUGGUGUAGCGGUGAAAUGCGCAGAUAUCAGGAGGAACACCGGUGGCGAAGGCGGUUCUCUGGGCAUUACCUGACGCUGAGGAGCGAAAGUGUGGGGAGCGAACAGG